This 113-nucleotide ribosomal RNA is filed under the name uncultured bacterium. Its description in RNAcentral is "partial 16S ribosomal RNA". It matches the Rfam family "Bacterial small subunit ribosomal RNA", at positions 222 to 334 of the family's 1533-position model. The record is from RNAcentral.
UGGAUGAGUCCGCGGCCCAUUAGCUAGUUGGUAGGGUAAUGGCCUACCAAGGCUACGAUGGGUAGCUGGUCUGAGAGGAUGAUCAGCCACACUGGAACUGAGACACGGUCCAG